CUGAAUACCAUACUUGAUCUAUUAAUGUAUGUUUUGCUUGUUUCUGGCAUUAAUGGUGUUCAUAUGUUAGGCGUUGGAAUGUCCGGAGAAUAAGAGAACCGUUGCAUCUCCAUCUUCAGCUUCAGUUUCCUGCAAGCCCAAAACCUCUGUGAAUUGGGAUGAUGUUGAAGAUGAUCGUUGAGACCUGAAACGAUGGCGUUUUGGAAAUUCUGCGAAUUGGGGCUUUUGGUGUUAGUUGGCGACCCAUAGGGUCCAUUAAUUGAGACGUCGUCGUUGUCUUGGAGCAUCGUCUUCUUCCAUCCCUUUCUCUUUUUUCAAAACGGAAGAGAGGAGAGAGGAGUGAGGAUCUGAGCUUUUGAACACAAUCGUCGCCAACGUGCUUGCUUAAUUAAGUGGAAUUUUGAUAAUGGUGCUGGUUGUUCCUGUUCUCCUACUGUCACACCACAUUGAUAUAGAGGUGGCUUUCUCCAUUGCUAUUUAUUCUCCGCCUGCCGUCGUUAAAGUUAACGCCAUACUUACAGUAUCUCGGUGGAAUUGAUAAUAUGGUGUUGGUUCUUCCUGUUCUUUUAGUGUCAUCACCACAUUGAUAUAGCCUGACAUCCUUGUUCGUGGUUUUGCUGGUUGGAAUUCUAGGUUUUCCUUCAAGGUACCCUCUCUUCUUAUUGACACUCUUGUAGUCAUUCCAUCACUGAUCGAAUUGGUGAUGCUUUUAUUUGAUGGAUCUUUUUUCUCUUCUCUUGUCUACAUCUUCAGGUCGUAGUAUUCUUCCUCUUUUACCGAUUUUUUUUUUCUUUUUCUUCUUUCUAUAGAAGUGAAAACACAUCUCUGUCUCUCUUUGUUGCAGAUCAUGAGGAACCAGGAUUACUGUGUUUGAUCUCUAUUAGUUUUGGAUGAUGCUUAUAUCAAUCAAUGAUGGCUUUGAUUGACACGCUUCUUCUCUAUGCUGUGUCUUUAGAGGGUGUGUUUUAAUUUGCAAGCAAAUCAUGCUCUGAUCUAAGGAUUAAUUGCACGGGAUGGUUGAAGCUAUGCGUUGAAAUGUCCGGAGAAUAAGAGAACCGUAGUAUCUCCAUCUUCAGCUUCAGUUUCCUGCAAGCCCAAAACCUCUGUGAAUUGGGAUGAUGUUGCUGGACUUGAUGGAGCUAAACAAGCUUUUCUGGAGAUGGUUUAUACUACC
Non-coding RNA from Camelina sativa (false flax), 1174 nucleotides. The record is from RefSeq and is a predicted model, not a curated record. Lineage: Eukaryota; Viridiplantae; Streptophyta; Magnoliopsida; Brassicales; Brassicaceae.